RNAcentral lists this ribosomal RNA (729 nucleotides) under uncultured Bacilli bacterium. RNAcentral's name for it is "bacterial SSU rRNA". It matches the Rfam family "Bacterial small subunit ribosomal RNA", at positions 28 to 738 of the family's 1533-position model. The record is from RNAcentral. Lineage: Bacteria; Bacillati; Bacillota; Bacilli.
GACGAACGCUGGCGGCGUGCCUAAUACAUGCAAGUCGAGCGGACCGACGGGAGCUUGCUCCCUUAGGUCAGCGGCGGACGGGUGAGUAACACGUGGGUAACCUGCCUGUAAGACUGGGAUAACUCCGGGAAACCGGGGCUAAUACCGGAUGCUUGAUUGAACCGCAUGGUUCAAUCAUAAAAGGUGGCUUUUAGCUACCACUUGCAGAUGGACCCGCGGCGCAUUAGCUAGUUGGUGAGGUAACGGCUCACCAAGGCGACGAUGCGUAGCCGACCUGAGAGGGUGAUCGGCCACACUGGGACUGGGACACGGCCCAGACUCCUACGGGAGGCAGCAGUAGGGAAUCUUCCGCAAUGGACGAAAGUCUGACGGAGCAACGCCGCGUGAGUGAUGAAGGUUUUCGGAUCGUAAAACUCUGUUGUUAGGGAAGAACAAGUACCGUUCGAAUAGGGCGGUACCUUGACGGUACCUAACCAGAAAGCCACGGCUAACUACGUGCCAGCAGCCGCGGUAAUACGUAGGUGGCAAGCGUUGUCCGGAAUUAUUGGGCGUAAAGCGCGCGCAGGCGGUUUCUUAAGUCUGAUGUGAAAGCCCCCGGCUCAACCGGGGAGGGUCAUUGGAAACUGGGGAACUUGAGUGCAGAAGAGGAGAGUGGAAUUCCACGUGUAGCGGUGAAAUGCGUAGAGAUGUGGAGGAACACCAGUGGCGAAGGCGACUCUCUGGUCUGUA